UGCCAGCAGCCGCGGUAAUACGGAGGGGGCUAGCGUUGUUCGGAAUUACUGGGCGUAAAGCGCGCGUAGGCGGGCUGGUCAGUUGGGGGUGAAAUCCCGAGGCUCAACCUCGGAACUGCCCUCAAUACUACCAGUCUAGAGUUCGGGAGAGGUGAGUGGAAUUCCUAGUGUAGAGGUGAAAUUCGUAGAUAUUCGGAGGAACACCAGUGGCGAAGGCGGCUUUCUGGACCAAUACUGACGCUGAGAUGCGAAAGCGUGGGGAGCGAACAGGAUUAGAUA
RNAcentral lists this ribosomal RNA (279 nucleotides) under uncultured bacterium. RNAcentral's name for it is "partial 16S ribosomal RNA". It matches the Rfam family "Bacterial small subunit ribosomal RNA", at positions 506 to 784 of the family's 1533-position model. The record is from RNAcentral.